RNAcentral lists this ribosomal RNA (466 nucleotides) under uncultured bacterium. RNAcentral's name for it is "bacterial SSU rRNA". It matches the Rfam family "Bacterial small subunit ribosomal RNA", at positions 335 to 793 of the family's 1533-position model. The record is from RNAcentral.
ACUCCUACGGGAGGCAGCAGUGGGGAAUAUUGCACAAUGGGCGCAAGCCUGAUGCAGCCAUGCCGCGUGUAUGAAGAAGGCCUUCGGGUUGUAAAGUACUUUCAGCAGUGAGGAAGGUGGGUAUGUUAAUAGCAUAUUCAUUUGACGUUAGCUGCAGAAGAAGCACCGGCUAACUCCGUGCCAGCAGCCGCGGUAAUACGGAGGGUGCGAGCGUUAAUCGGAAUUACUGGGCGUAAAGCGCAUGCAGGUGGUUUGUUAAGUCAGAUGUGAAAGCCCGGGGCUCAACCUCGGAAUUGCAUUUGAAACUGGCAAACUAGAGUACUGUAGAGGGGGUAGAAUUUCAGGUGUAGCGGUGAAAUGCGUAGAGAUCUGAAGGAAUACCGGUGGCGAAGGCGGCCCCCCUGGACAGAUACUGACACUCAGAUGCGAAAGCGUGGGGAGCAAACAGGAUUAGAUACCCUGGUAG